This 489-nucleotide ribosomal RNA is filed under the name Triticum aestivum (bread wheat). RNAcentral's name for it is "partial small subunit ribosomal RNA". Lineage: Eukaryota; Viridiplantae; Streptophyta; Magnoliopsida; Poales; Poaceae. The record is from RNAcentral.
AUGAGAGCCGCCGUCAGGCCCGAACUAAUGAUGAUGAUGAACCACCUUCUGACUUACAAAACACUCCUUGAGAACGCCAGAAUGAGGUUUCUUUCACCUUUGUCCUUUGUUUUUAUCCGUGAAUCUAUUUCCUCUUAUGCUUUAACUUUAUUUUACUUUUGCAUGAGGUUUCUCGCUCUUCUGGCGACUCAUCUUCCGGCUUUCAAGACUACCCCUGGUGGUCAAGCGAAGUCUAAGAAAGCUAAGGUUAUUAAACCGGCAGAAGACCCAAGAAAUCCUGCACUUGAACCGGCAAUAUCAACUCCUCCAGUUCAAUCUGAAGUGCCAGAAGAUCCGGCUGUCCAUGCCCAAUUGGACCCUCCUAAGCCGCCAGCUGAUGAAACCAUUGUUGAUUCCUCCACCGUCAGACCAUUUGGUUCAGCUAACCCGCCAGCGUCUUCUGACCAUGACGUUCUGAUCACUGGCAGCAGAUUUUGUUGUGCCGGGUAA